GAUCAUGCCACUGCACUCCAGCCUGGGUGACAGAGCGAGCCCCCGUCUCAAACAAAAACAAAAACCAAAAAAAACCCACAGACUCAAUUCUGGCUGCCAGGCCAUCAAGGGCUGUGAAGUGAAGCCCUGAGAUCCUUGUGGCAGGACCCUGGACACACAAUGACAGUGCCACCAGCCACAGCCAUGCCCAGCAAGCAGCUUCCUGUCCAGUGAGCACCAAGGGGCCCUUCUCACACACAGCCUCCCACUCAAACCUCGAGCAUCCGCUUCUCUCCUCCUCCACUCUGGGGCACAGAGGCUCUCGCCAGCCCCCACAGCUGCUUCUCCGCUUGUCACCCUGCCACACACCCUCUGUCCCUGCAGUUCCAGGGACAGCCGAGGUGUUCUCACUCUGCACCAAGUGCCUCACGGGCCAGGUCCUGCUUAAAGCCUGAAUGAAGCAAAGCUUGGAAAGGACCCAACACAACCUGCCACCAACUGAAUGCCUGCCAUCCCUCCCCACCCUACGAAGACACUGCAUGAAAGCCACCGAGCACGUGACUGCAUGACCCCCACACAAAGGGCACGUCCAUCGUUCCAACUACAAAGCUCCACGUCCAACACCAGUGGCCUCCUCACCCCCAAUGCAUAUUUGCAACCCAUUAGUACCAAAAGUUUAAUCACUAUUGCUGCCCUGUCUCCUACUACCCCAUUCCUUGCCCUCAUUAAACUCCUAAAGACAGUGGUCCCUAGAUGCCUCCCUCUCUUCCCUAUCCAGCGACUUAUCACAAACACCCCAACACCCUUUCCUCUCCAUCAGAUAUCACUGAACCUCAACAAGGGGGCCUGAGGUGCCAAAGAAACAUCACAUAGCACGAUCUAGAGUGUAGCAACCACACAGCUAACACCCAAAUCAGAGGGUCCUCAUGAUCCCAUCCAUGCACCCACAUCCCGGCUGUCGUCCACAAUCCUACGAAUCAGAGGGUCCUCGUGAUCCCCAUCCGUGCACUCACACUCCCUGCUGUGGUCCACAAUCCUACAACAAUGCUCCACUCUUGGCCUCGUACCCUAAGUGUCCACAUUCCACCUGUUCUCACUCCUCCUACACAGCCACCUUUGGCCCUAAGAACACUGCAUCCGGACACGCAGGC
RNAcentral lists this long non-coding RNA (1130 nucleotides) under Homo sapiens (human). RNAcentral describes it as "HSALNT0235479". The record is from RNAcentral. Lineage: Eukaryota; Metazoa; Chordata; Mammalia; Primates; Hominidae.